Molecule: ribosomal RNA, 729 nt
Filed under: uncultured Bacteroidota bacterium
Lineage: Bacteria; Pseudomonadati; Bacteroidota
Description: bacterial SSU rRNA
Rfam family: Bacterial small subunit ribosomal RNA
Source: RNAcentral
UCGUGGGGCAGCAGGUCCGUCGCAAGACGGAUGCUGGCGACCGGCAAACGGGUGCGGAACACGUACGCAACCUUCCUUUAACUGGAGAAUAGCCCCUCGAAAGAGGGAUUAAUACUCCGUAACAUAAUGAUGAGGCAUCUCUUUAUUAUUAUAGCUUCGGCGGUUAAAGAUGGGCGUGCGCCUGAUUAGAUAGUUGGCGGGGUAACGGCCCACCAAGUCUGCGAUCAGUAACUGGUGUGAGAGCACGACCAGUCACACGGGCACUGAGACACGGGCCCGACUCCUACGGGAGGCAGCAGUAAGGAAUAUUGGUCAAUGGACGCAAGUCUGAACCAGCCAUGCCGCGUGGAGGAUUAAGGCCCUCUGGGUUGUAAACUCCUUUUAUCUGGGAAGAAAUGCCAUUUUUCUAAAUGGUUUGACGGUACCAGAGGAAUAAGCACCGGCUAACUCCGUGCCAGCAGCCGCGGUAAUACGGAGGGUGCAAGCGUUAUCCGGAUUCACUGGGUUUAAAGGGUGCGUAGGCGGGCAGGUAAGUCCGUGGUGAAAUCUCUGAGCUUAACUCAGAAACUGCCAUGGAUACUAUUUGUCUUGAAUAUUGUGGAGGUAAGCGGAAUAUGUCAUGUAGCGGUGAAAUGCUUAGAUAUGACAUAGAACACCAAUUGCGAAGGCAGCUUACUACACAGUUAUUGACGCUGAGGCACGAAAGCGUGGGGAUCAAACAGGAUUAGA